RNAcentral lists this ribosomal RNA (708 nucleotides) under uncultured Tilletiopsis. RNAcentral describes it as "eukaryotic LSU rRNA". Lineage: Eukaryota; Fungi; Basidiomycota; Exobasidiomycetes. The record is from RNAcentral.
CUUGGUCAUUUAGAGGAAGUAAAAGUCGUAACAAGGUUUCCGUAGGUGAACCUGCGGAAGGAUCAUUAGUGAAUCACCGGGGUAGCCACUCUGUGGCCCCCAAACCUUCACUUUCCACACACACCUGUGCACCCGGUGGUGGGGGGUUCUUGUAAUAGAGCUCCCUCUGCUGCCUAUCUAUCACAUACCCUGAGUAUUAUGGAUGUCAGUGUAUACUUGCCUUUUUGGCAGAACUAAACACAACUUUCGACAACGGAUCUCUUGGUUCUCCCAUCGAUGAAGAACGCAGCGAAAUGCGAUAAGUAAUGUGAAUUGCAGAAUUCAGUGAAUCAUCGAAUCUUUGAACGCACCUUGCGCUCCUUGGUAUUCCGAGGAGCAUGCCUGUUUGAGUGUCAUGAAUCCCUCAAACCCCUCAGGUUUUGAAACAAAAGCCUGGGCUUGGGUUUGGAUGUGGGUGCCCUGCCAUCUUGUAUGGCUCACCCCAAAUGCAUUAGCUGGACCCUUCCUGUAACCGGUUCCACUCAGCGUGAUAAGUCAUUCGCUGAGGACAGCGAGGCAAGCCCACUUGUGGGUGCGCCCCUGCUGGCCGGACUCGGGUUGCUUGGUCUGCUUACAGCCCCGUCGCAUGACGGAAAACCAUAUUCAAUGCUCUGGCCUCAAAUCASGUAGGAUUACCCGCUGAACUUAAGCAUAUCAAUAAGCGGAGGA